This 429-nucleotide ribosomal RNA is filed under the name Gemmatimonadota bacterium. Its description in RNAcentral is "Gemmatimonadetes bacterium partial 16S ribosomal RNA". It matches the Rfam family "Bacterial small subunit ribosomal RNA", at positions 355 to 776 of the family's 1533-position model. Lineage: Bacteria; Pseudomonadati; Gemmatimonadota. The record is from RNAcentral.
UUGGGAAUCUUCGGCAAUGGACGAAAGUCUGACCGAGCAACGCCGCGUGAGUGAAGAAGGUUUUCGGAUCGUAAAACUCUGUUGUUAGAGAAGAACAAGGACGUUAGUAACUGAACGUCCCCUGACGGUAUCUAACCAGAAAGCCACGGCUAACUACGUGCCAGCAGCCGCGGUAAUACGUAGGUGGCAAGCGUUGUCCGGAUUUAUUGGGCGUAAAGCGAGCGCAGGCGGUUUCUUAAGUCUGAUGUGAAAGCCCCCGGCUCAACCGGGGAGGGUCAUUGGAAACUGGGAGACUUGAGUGCAGAAGAGGAGAGUGGAAUUCCAUGUGUAGCGGUGAAAUGCGUAGAUAUAUGGAGGAACACCAGUGGCGAAGGCGGCUCUCUGGUCUGUAACUGACGCUGAGGCUCGAAAGCGUGGGGAGCAAACAGG